AAUCAACGCUGGCGGCGUGCCUCAGACAUGCAAGUCGAACGAUUAAAGCUCUCUUCGGAGAGUGUAUAGAGUGGCGCACGGGUGAGUAACACGUAAGUAAUCUACCUUUGAGUGGGGAAUAACCCGGGGAACCCGAGCUAAUACCGCAUAAUGCAGCGGCAUCGCAAGAUGACAGUUGUUAAAGGAGCAAUCCGCUUAAAGAGGAGCUUGCGGCAGAUUAGCUAGUUGGUAAGGUAAUGGCUUACCAAGGCUACGAUCUGUAUCCGGUCUAAGAGGACGGUCGGACACACUGACACUGAAUAACGGGUCAGACUCCUACGGGAGGCAGCAGUCGGGAAUUUUGGGCAAUGGGCGAAAGCCUGACCCAGCAACGCCGCGUGAAGGAUGAAGUAUUUCGGUAUGUAAACUUCGAAAGAAUAGGAAGAAUAAAUGACGGUACUAUUUAUAAGGUCCGGCUAACUACGUGCCAGCAGCCGCC
Molecule: ribosomal RNA, 478 nt
Filed under: uncultured bacterium
Lineage: Bacteria
Description: bacterial SSU rRNA
Rfam family: Bacterial small subunit ribosomal RNA
Source: RNAcentral